This 175-nucleotide non-coding RNA is filed under the name Acetoanaerobium sticklandii. Its description in RNAcentral is "Clostridium sticklandii Lysine sequence". It matches the Rfam family "Lysine riboswitch aptamer". From Rfam's summary of the family: Riboswitches are metabolite binding domains within certain messenger RNAs that serve as precision sensors for their corresponding targets. Allosteric rearrangement of mRNA structure is mediated by ligand binding, and this results in modulation of gene expression. The record is from RNAcentral. RNAcentral also lists the same sequence under 1 other name. Lineage: Bacteria; Bacillati; Bacillota; Clostridia; Peptostreptococcales; Filifactoraceae.
UUCGUAAAUAGAGGUGCAACAAGAAGGUAAUACAAUUAUGCUAAGAGUAAGAACACUCGAUGAAUUGUACUAAUGUCUUUGUUGCCGAAGAGACUUAUUCGUUCUUGGAUAUUUCUUUGGUGGUAAUGUUCAGCACUUACCAUUGCCAUGUUAAUCAUGGAGCGCUAUUUACGUC